GCCCGCAUCACCCAAACCGUGCGGAUUCCGUCUUUUAAUCCGCAGGUCGUAGGUUCGAGCCCUACUGGGGGCA
This 73-nucleotide transfer RNA is filed under the name Gordonia sp. 852002-51296_SCH5728562-b. RNAcentral describes it as "tRNA-Lys". The record is from RNAcentral. Lineage: Bacteria; Bacillati; Actinomycetota; Actinomycetes; Mycobacteriales; Gordoniaceae.